RNAcentral lists this ribosomal RNA (350 nucleotides) under uncultured Ruminococcus sp. Its description in RNAcentral is "bacterial SSU rRNA". It matches the Rfam family "Bacterial small subunit ribosomal RNA", at positions 1 to 339 of the family's 1533-position model. Lineage: Bacteria; Bacillati; Bacillota; Clostridia; Eubacteriales; Oscillospiraceae. The record is from RNAcentral.
AGUAGUUUGAUCAUGGCUCGAGGACGAACGCUGGCGGCGUGCUUAACACAUGCAAGUCGAACGAGAAUCUGUGGAAAGAGGAUUCGUCCAAUUGAAGCAGAGGACAGUGGCGGACGGGCGAGUAACGCGUGAGGAACCUGCCUUUCAGAGGGGGACAACAGUUGGAAACGACUGCUAAUACCGCAUAACGCAUAAGAGUCGCAUGGCUCAUAUGCCAAAGAUUUAUCGCUGAAAGAUGGCCUCGCGUCUGAUUAGCUAGUUGGUGAGGUAACGGCCCACCAAGGCGACGAUCAGUAGCCGGACUGAGAGGUUGAACGGCCACAUUGGGACUGAGAUACGGCCCAGACUCC